Long non-coding RNA from Piliocolobus tephrosceles (Ugandan red Colobus), 1878 nucleotides. The record is from Ensembl. Lineage: Eukaryota; Metazoa; Chordata; Mammalia; Primates; Cercopithecidae.
UUUAAUAUAUAUAUUAAGUAAAAAAAGGGAUAUUUUAAAAGAAGCAAAUUAUUUUUAUUCUUUACUUAGUUUUUUAAAAGAGUUUAAACAAAAAGAAGUUGAAGAGGGUUACACUAUUAAUAACUAUAAUAACUACAUCAAUAAUAACGUAGCUAACCACAAUAGUACUUACGCAAGUAGUUAUAAUAAUAAUAGUAAAAAUAACCCAAACCCAUUCGAUAAAACAAAUAAUUGCGAUUUUAUUUUAAACCAAUGGAAGAAGUCAAUAAAAAUUUAUAUAUCUUGGUUUCCAGAAAUUGUUGAAGACAAAUAUAAAUCUAAGUGCUUUUCAUCAGCAACUUAUCUAGUAUUUCAUGUCGUUGUACCUGAAUUUGAAAAUAAUACACAACAGUAUACACAAAUCCUAAAAAAGUAUGAUUAUUAUGAUUUUUAUAAUAUUGUAAAAAAUGAUAAUAAAAUAAAAAAUAAAAAAAAUGAUAAACGAUAUGGUAGUAACUACAUAUUAGAUCAUAGUGACAGAAAUUCAUCAAAUGUUUUUUCGCAUAAUCACGAAACUGGUAAUUUCCAUAAAAAAAAUUAUGAACAGACAAGUAAUAUGAUAAAAAAUGGACAAACUAUGAAUUCCAAACAAAAUUUGAAUAAUCCGAUAGUAGUUAAUAGAAAAUAUGAUAAUUUAAUAUAUAAUCAGAUAGAUAAAGAGAAGGCUGAAGUAAAUGAGCAGGAGAUGAGAAAUCAAAAUGUAGGAUAUGACAUGUAUAUGAUAAAAAAUAAUGAAAGUAGUCUAGCUUUUGAGAAGAAAGGGGUACCAAAAAAUGAUAAUAAAAUAAAAAAUAACAAAAAUGAUGAACAUGUUAAUAAUAAUCACGUGAUAGAGUAUUGUGUUAGUACGGCCAUAGGUAGUGGUAGUGGAGGUGGGAGUACAGGCAUAAAAUUAGUCUAUAUGAUAAAUGAAAGUAACUCCAAAUUUAUAGAAAAAAUAAACAAAGAAAGUAAAUAUGUUAAUAAAUUUAACGAAACAAAAGAAAAAGUGUUUGUUUUUUCUUUUAACGUGUUAGAUUUAAAAUAUAAUGAACAAGUUAAAAAAAUAUUAAAUGAUUGUAUGACCGAAAAAAUGUGUUUUUCACAGGAUCAACGAUAUAGUAUUAAUAGUGAUAUGGUAAAUAGUUUGAAUAGUAGCGGUAGUAGUAACAUCAAAAAUCCGUUUUUAUUUGUCGUGUACGAUGUAAAACGUUUAAUACACAUUUUUAACAACAUAAAUAUAAAAUUUCCAAAUUACAGUAAAGUUUGUGAUAUUUAUAUAAUGAGCUCAUUGUUACAAAUAUCACAACGAGGUGAUAAAUUACAAAACGUAUUUAAUGAAUACUUAAAUGAUAAGUAUACAUCUAUUUUUUAUAAUUCAAAUAAAAUGAUAAAACAAAUUGAAAAUUAUUUUUCUUCUUGUUUUUUUAUGCCUCCUGAAUAUUCAGAUGUAGUAUUAGGAAGGUAUGGUAUUUUUGGUUGGGGUAAAUACCAAAAAGAAAAAGUUGAAUUAUCUAACAAAACAGUGACCCAACAUGUAUUAAAAGAAUGUUUGUUUAACAAUGAAAUUGCAGGAAAUGAUCACAUGAAUGAUAUGACAAACACUACCGGUGUUGAUAGUGGUGGUAGAGGUAGUGGUAGUGUUAGUUGUAGUAGUAAUACCCAUAACACGCAUCAUAAACAAAAUGAGCAAAAUAAAGACGAACACGAGAAGGCAGUAAACAGUAGAAAGAAAAAACAAAAUAAAGGAAAGAAAGGAAAGAAAGGAAAUAAAGAAAAGAAGGAAAAUAAGGAAAGCGGUUUUUCGUCCAAACUAAAAAAAUAUGAUAAUAACGAAUUAUGUUAUUUAACUUUCACACA